This 227-nucleotide unclassified non-coding RNA is filed under the name uncultured fungus. RNAcentral's name for it is "sequence contains ITS1". Lineage: Eukaryota; Fungi. The record is from RNAcentral.
GUAUUUUGCUUCUUAUGCCGACAUCCUCCGAAAACUUGGGAUGGUCAUGAAAAUGACGGAGCUACAAACGGGCCGACCCGACUUAUAAUCUCCCUACCGCUGCAGGCAGGGAGCAGCGUUGCGCCCUCACUCCCGCGGUGCACAGUGUGAAGAUGUGGAAAACGGCGCUUCCAAUUGGAAGACGCCUAGUUUCGCUAAUGAUCCCUCCGCAGGUUCACCUACGGAGA